RNAcentral lists this ribosomal RNA (254 nucleotides) under uncultured bacterium. RNAcentral's name for it is "partial 16S ribosomal RNA". It matches the Rfam family "Bacterial small subunit ribosomal RNA", at positions 524 to 776 of the family's 1533-position model. The record is from RNAcentral.
UACGUAGGGUGCAAGCGUUGUCCGGAAUUAUUGGGCGUAAAGAGCUCGUAGGCGGUGUGUCACGUCGAUCGUGAAAACUUGGGGCUUAACCCUGAGCUUGCGGUCGAUACGGGCAUCACUGGAGUUCGGCAGGGGAGACUGGAAUUCCUGGUGUAGCGGUGAAAUGCGCAGAUAUCAGGAGGAACACCGGUGGCGAAGGCGGGUCUCUGGGCCGAUACUGACGCUGAGGAGCGAAAGCAUGGGGAGCGAACAGG